Molecule: transfer RNA, 73 nt
Filed under: Mus musculus (house mouse)
Lineage: Eukaryota; Metazoa; Chordata; Mammalia; Rodentia; Muridae
Description: tRNA-Ala
Source: RNAcentral
AGGGAUGUGGCUCAGCUGGUAGAGUGCUUGCUUAGCAUGCAUAAAGUCCUGGGUUCAAUUCUCAGGGGUGUGG